Molecule: long non-coding RNA, 561 nt
Organism: Triticum aestivum (bread wheat)
Lineage: Eukaryota; Viridiplantae; Streptophyta; Magnoliopsida; Poales; Poaceae
Exons: 3
Source: RefSeq, a predicted model, not a curated record
UCUGUGCACUUUUAGUGAAGCAAAUAGUCCUCUAGCUAGCUAGCUAACUUGGUCUUGUAUUGAUGGUAUCACGCAGAUUGGUUCUUAUUUCUGUCAUUCAUUUAUUAUCUAGCUAGCUAGCAUUUCCAUUGAACUGAAUCUAUGUAAUGGACCUUGCUAACUUGUUCUCCCUCCAUGGACUUGCAGCCUCUUCCAUGCUCAACCACCAUCAGCCUCCUUAACCCUGACCGAAGAGCUGGCCUUUUCCCCGAGGCCUGCUGCUUGGAUUCUUGUUGGGGUGGACGAGUUGCCUCCAUCUUGGGAUCCAGUUGUCACGCCUAAAUUCGUUUUAGUGCCGAGAUGAACUCCGAGAUUAUCGAUCGAAUUAGGAAGAGGAGAAGCGAGGAUGAUGAAGAUAUGAUGUCCUUUAUUCUGCCCGUAUUGCAUCGAAUGCGUAGUAGAGGGCCAAUCGAGAGAACUCAGUGACAUAGCUCCAUCUUAUAUGGCAAGAAGCGGGUUGAUGAUAUCCUUAGAGGCCAUGUGAAGAAUUGCCUAGUAGCUUAUAGGAUGGAGCCACGUAUC